GGCGGACGGGUGAGUAACGCGUGGGAACGUGCCCUUCUCUAUGGAAUAGCCACUGGAAACGGUGAGUAAUACCAUAUACGCCCUUCGGGGGAAAGAUUUAUCGGAGAAGGAUCGGCCCGCGUUAGAUUAGGUAGUUGGUGGGGUAAUGGCCUACCAAGCCUACGAUCUAUAGCUGGUUUUAGAGGAUGAUCAGCCACACUGGGACUGAGACACGGCCCAGACUCCUACGGGAGGCAGCAGUGGGGAAUCUUAGACAAUGGGCGCAAGCCUGAUCUAGCCGUGCCGCGUGAGUGAUGAAGGCCUUAGGGUCGUAAAGCUCUUUCGCCAGAGAUGAUAAUGACAGUAUCUGGUAAAGAAACCCCGGCUAACUCCGUGCCAGCAGCCGCGGUAAUACGGAGGGGGUUAGCGUUGUUCGGAAUUACUGGGCGUAAAGCGCACGUAGGCGGAUUAGAAAGUUAGGGGUGAAAUCCCGGGGCUCAACCUCGGAACUGCCCCUAAAACUCCUAGUCUAGAGUUCGAGAGAGGUGAGUGGAAUUCCAAGUGUAGAGGUGAAAUUCGUAGAUAUUUGGAGGAACACCAGUGGCGAAGGCGGCUCACUGGCUCGAUACUGACGCUGAGGUGCGAAAGUGUGGGGAGCAAACAGGAUUAGAUACCCUGGUAGUCCACACCGU
This 671-nucleotide ribosomal RNA is filed under the name uncultured Phaeobacter sp. RNAcentral's name for it is "bacterial SSU rRNA". It matches the Rfam family "Bacterial small subunit ribosomal RNA", at positions 97 to 803 of the family's 1533-position model. Lineage: Bacteria; Pseudomonadati; Pseudomonadota; Alphaproteobacteria; Rhodobacterales; Roseobacteraceae. The record is from RNAcentral.